RNAcentral lists this ribosomal RNA (314 nucleotides) under Levilactobacillus brevis. Its description in RNAcentral is "bacterial SSU rRNA". It matches the Rfam family "Bacterial small subunit ribosomal RNA", at positions 82 to 390 of the family's 1533-position model. Lineage: Bacteria; Bacillati; Bacillota; Bacilli; Lactobacillales; Lactobacillaceae. The record is from RNAcentral.
AACAAUGAAGCGAGUGGCGAACUGGUGAGUAACACGUGGGAAUCUGCCCAGAAGCAGGGGAUAACACUUGGAAACAGGUGCUAAUACCGUAUAACAACAAAAUCCGCAUGGAUUUUGUUUGAAAGGUGGCUUCGGCUAUCACUUCUGGAUGAUCCCGCGGCGUAUUAGUUAGUUGGUGAGGUAAAGGCCCACCAAGACGAUGAUACGUANCCGACCUGAGANGGUAAUCGGCCACAUUGGGACUGANACACGGCCCAAACUCCUACGGGAGGCAGCAGUANGGAAUCUUCCACAAUGGACGAAAGUCUGAUGGA